AGCAGCCGCGGUAAUUCCAGCUCCAAUAGCGUAUAUUAAAGUUGUUGCAGUUAAAAAGCUCGUAGUUGAAUUUCGGGAUUGACACAUCGGUCGUGCCUUAAGGGGUAUGAACUGGUGUAGUCAAUUUCUCACCUUCUGGAGAACCGCGAUGCCCUUAAUUGGGUGUCGCGGGGAACCAGGACCUUUACUUUGAAAAAAUUAGAGUGUUUAAAGCAGGCAUUUUGCUUUGAAUACAUUAGCAUGGAAUAAUAAAAUAGGACGGCAUGAUUCUAUUUUGUUGGUUUCUAGGAUCACCGUAAUGAUUAAUAGGGAUAGUUGGGGGCAUUAGUAUUCAAUUGUCAGAGGUGAAAUUCUUGGAUUUAUUGAAGACUAACUACUGCGAAAGCAUUUGCCAAGGAUGUUUUCAUUAAUCUAAGAACGAAAGUUAGGGGAUCGAAGACGAUCAGAUACCGUCGUAGUCUUAACCAUAAACUAUGCCGACUAGGAAUCAGACGAUGUUAAUUUUUAAUGUACUCGUUUG
This 520-nucleotide unclassified non-coding RNA is filed under the name uncultured Entrophospora. RNAcentral's name for it is "SSU rRNA". It matches the Rfam family "Eukaryotic small subunit ribosomal RNA", at positions 569 to 1082 of the family's 1831-position model. The record is from RNAcentral. Lineage: Eukaryota; Fungi; Glomeromycota; Glomeromycetes; Entrophosporales; Entrophosporaceae.